Long non-coding RNA from Oreochromis niloticus (Nile tilapia), 1294 nucleotides. RefSeq lists it as uncharacterized. The record is from RefSeq and is a predicted model, not a curated record. The transcript is spliced from 3 exons. NCBI's taxonomy places the organism in Eukaryota, Metazoa, Chordata, Actinopteri, Cichliformes, Cichlidae.
ACCCCUUCAAGGACCGGGCAGCAUGAGUGAAACCUCUCCGGGAGGCAGGGCCAAACGUGGCGACAUGUGCUUAAUUCCGUCUCUAUAAAUAGAUCAGCAUGAGUGAUGUCACUGUGACCGAGUACAAAGAAACCACAGCAGCAGCGGUGAAAAGACUAUGGCGAGAGCGGUACACAAAAACACACACUGAGGUUCACUGAGUCACAUUUAACAAGGCACAGCUUCCUCAGUGCAACUGACCUGGAAGGGUUUUUUCUUUUUCACCAAGACCCCCUGGUGUUGUUGGAGCAGCUUCAUGGACGUCCCAUGACCCUUGACCUCCUCAUUAGAAGCUUGAAAAAACAAAACCAACAGAACAAAAAGGCCUCGGGAGAAGCAUCGCCAUCACUUUUUUACUUCAAAACAACAGGAAACAAAGACACUAAUAUUUGAGAUACAAAAGCACUUUCCUAAAACAAUUAAAACAACAAAACAAGAAGGGUUUCUGUCCCAGCGCAGCUGCCAUCACGCUGUUUCAAUGAAGCCUUUUUUUCCCUAGCCGAAAAGACAUUUCAGUUACAGUCCAAUAAAAACAGAUUUUGAAUCUUAAUUUCAAUCUCCAAAUCCUCCUCUGAUUUCUUAAAUAUGAAAAGCAUUUUAAAAAAUCAUUCAGGGGUUUCAAAGGCAAUAAUUCAAAUAACUGUAUUUGUUUUCUCUCACAGAAUUUGUAAUGUCUGUCUUUGUGGUUUGACAUGGUGAUAGAUUACCAAGUUUAACUCAAACACUGCAUAAUCAUGAGUGAGGAAUUAGCCAUCAACCAACAGUAAACAUUGCUCACAGAAGCAUUAGAGGAAAGCUGCUGGCAUGGAUACCAGGCAGUUAGUCUGAUUUUUUUUUAUAGAAAUUAUACAGAAAAAAACACUAUUAAACCUUCUAUUUAGGACCGCAGGGGAUAAAUACUGCAGGGACUUAAAUACUGUUUAUCCUCCAAAGCCUAAUCACACCAUUAAGAAAUCUCUACUUUGCAAAACAAACAGAGAAAGUCAAAGAACACAAACACUUUCAGAACAUCGACAGCAAGCAGGGAAGCAAAUACGGAAAUACACAGAUUGUGAAACAAACAACAUAACAUGAGAAAGGGGGGGGAAAGGAUCAUUCCAUAUUUAUUUCUGAAUAAAAGGAUUUCACACAUUCUGAGGAAAUAGUUGCCGCGGCCUUUAAAUUGGAUUAUUGUGUUGUAAGGUUGACCUUGCCGUGAAAAUAACCACUGUUGGCAGGACGUUUGAAUUCCCUGUCAUUAAUGUGGCAAACUGUU